RNAcentral lists this transfer RNA (85 nucleotides) under Felis catus (domestic cat). It matches the Rfam family "tRNA". Rfam says of the family: Transfer RNA (tRNA) molecules are approximately 80 nucleotides in length. Their secondary structure includes four short double-helical elements and three loops (D, anti-codon, and T loops). Lineage: Eukaryota; Metazoa; Chordata; Mammalia; Carnivora; Felidae. The record is from Rfam by way of RNAcentral.
GCCUGGGUGGCUCAGUCAGUUAAGUGUCUGACUUUGGCUCAGGUCAUGAUCUCACGGUUUGUGGGUUCAAGCCCCAUGUCGGGCU